CCUACGGGAGGCAGCAGUGGGGAAUUUUGGACAAUGGACGCAAGUCUGAUCCAGCCAUGCCGCGUGCGGGAAGAAGGCCUUCGGGUUGUAAACCGCUUUUGUCAGGGAAGAAACGGCUUUCUCUAAUACAGAAGGCUAAUGACGGUACCUGAAGAAUAAGCACCGGCUAACUACGUGCCAGCAGCCGCGGUAAUACGUAGGGUGCAAGCGUUAAUCGGAAUUACUGGGCGUAAAGCGUGCGCAGGCGGUUAUGCAAGACAGAUGUGAAAUCCCCGGGCUCAACCUGGGAACUGCAUUUGUGACUGCAUGGCUAGAGUACGGUAGAGGGGGAUGGAAUUCCGCGUGUAGCAGUGAAAUGCGUAGAUAUGCGGAGGAACACCGAUGGCGAAGGCAAUCCCCUGGACCUGUACUGACGCUCAUGCACGAAAGCGUGGGGAGCAAACAGGAUUAGAUACCCUGGUAGUCCACGCCCUAAACGAUGUCAACUGGUUNUUGGGAGGGUUUCUUCUCAGUAACGAAGCUAACGCGUGAAGUUGACCGCCUGGGGAGUACGGCCGCAAGGUUGAAACCUUAAAGGAAUUGACGG
RNAcentral lists this ribosomal RNA (586 nucleotides) under uncultured bacterium. RNAcentral's name for it is "bacterial SSU rRNA". It matches the Rfam family "Bacterial small subunit ribosomal RNA", at positions 338 to 916 of the family's 1533-position model. The record is from RNAcentral.